AGGGUCCCAGAGAUUGAUUGUCCAAACGCAAUUCUUGUAACAUAUAAUAUAAAUCCAAGAAUUGUGCCUGGACAUCUGUUGCUGGAGAUUC
Danio rerio (zebrafish) is the source of this 91-nucleotide microRNA precursor. Ensembl annotates it as microRNA 219-1. Its record names the gene mir219-1. Lineage: Eukaryota; Metazoa; Chordata; Actinopteri; Cypriniformes; Danionidae. The record is from Ensembl.